ACAUCUAGCAUUACCAGUAUUAGAGGCACUGCCUGCCCAGUGACAUUAGUUUAACGGCCGCGGUAUCCUGACCGUGCAAAGGUAGCAUAAUCAUUUGUUCCUUAAUUAGGGACUUGUAUGAAUGGCCCCACGAGGGUUUGACUGUCUCUUACUUUUAAUCAGUGAAAUUGACCUUCCCGUGAAGAGGCGGGAAUAUAAAAAUAAGACGAGAAGACCCUAUGGAGCUUAAAUUAAAAUGUUCAACAAAAUUUUAACUUAAUCCAACAGGAAUAACAACAUUUUAACUGAACAAUAAAUUUUGGUUGGGGUGACCUCGGAGCAUAACAAAACCUCCGAGCAGUUUAACUUAGACUUACUAGUCAAAGUGAUAUAAUCUAUUGAUCCAAUCAUAUUGAUCAACGAAACAAGUUACCCUAGGGAUAACAGCGCAAUCCUAUUUAAGAGUUCAUAUCGACAAUAGGGUUUACGACCUCGAUGUUGGAUCAGGACACCCAAAUGGUGUAGCAGCUAUUAAAGGUUCGUUUGUUCAACG
This 532-nucleotide ribosomal RNA is filed under the name Crocidura malayana. RNAcentral describes it as "partial 16S ribosomal RNA". It matches the Rfam family "Bacterial large subunit ribosomal RNA", at positions 1816 to 2586 of the family's 2925-position model. The record is from RNAcentral. Lineage: Eukaryota; Metazoa; Chordata; Mammalia; Eulipotyphla; Soricidae.